Zingiber officinale is the source of this 427-nucleotide long non-coding RNA. RefSeq lists it as uncharacterized. NCBI's taxonomy places the organism in Eukaryota, Viridiplantae, Streptophyta, Magnoliopsida, Zingiberales, Zingiberaceae. The record is from RefSeq and is a predicted model, not a curated record. The transcript is spliced from 2 exons.
UCUCCUUCACGCGACGGCGCCGCUCGGACGAAUACCAAGAGGAAUUAGGGUUCCAUCUCCAGCGCCGACCAAGGGGUUUCUCCAAGGGCUUUUCACGGAUUCGUGAUCGUCUCGCUGGGGAGAGCACGAAGAUACGAAGGGAUCGCGGAGUAGUCACUGCCGAAAACCCUAGAAGCCUCUUCUCUUUUCGGUUGUAAGUCCAAGAACAGCGAGAUAAAGGAAAGGAAAAGAUACAGUGAAGGAAGGCGACAAGGAGAUGCAAAAAGGGGUGUGUGAUGUCUGAACUAUGGAGGCCUCGGGGCUCUGCUGAAAAGUUGUUAAGAGUCAUUGUUUAACUUGUUAGGGAUUAAAGGAUCGAUUCUCUUGUUAUUGAUUGAAUUAUCUUAUUCAGUAUUGCUAGAACUGUUUCUUAUUCCUUGCUGCUGAA